GAAGAAGAGGCUGAGCGCAAAUCUUUUCACCACAAGGCGCUGAUGCAGCGAAUUGGUCCACCAUACUACUUGUAUACUGCUGGAGUUUGCGGCUGAAGACCGCUACGUCACAUCCCUGCAUGUCAAAAGUGUGGAACACAUACAGUACAUCACCAAAAACUGACCAGAACUGGGCUCAUGGGACGAAGUGGGGAGCAUCAACAUAGAUGACAUGGAGAGGGAGCUUCCUCUGACAACCAUGGGGGUCUACGUGGUCAGAAAAGAAAAUGCAGAGCCCGAAGAAGAUCCAGAGGGUGUGGGAGUGCUGAUUGAAGGGGUGGAGGUCCUUGCUGGCCUCCCAAGUAUCACUUGUGGAUGCGCCAUGCUGUUUGGAAUGAUCUAUGCACUCAAUGUGGGCUACCCACAACACAAGCGUGGAAGUGUACAUUUGAUGUGUACCAGAAGAUACUGAUGAACCUAGAUGGUAAGAAGCUUUCACCAAAAGUUCAGUCACUGAAAAUCAAGAUGCUGCAGUGAUCUAUUUGAUGCAGUCAUGCUUCACCAGUGGACUCUUUUUGACUCUUCCUUCUAUACUUUCAAUCUUUCACUUGUGAUGGAAACAAAUCUUGGACAUUGUUGUGUUGUUAUUGUUGUUAUUGUUGCAUUUAAAUGUUUUUUUCUAAUUUUUUGAUAUUCUAAUUUUUUGGAAAGGGUCUGUAUUUUAAACUGCAUUUAAUAUGAUGUGACUAUCCAACAUGCCAAGAAUGAUAUUCCCGAUGCAGGUAAAUCUUCAAUAAAAAAACAUCCCUGCUGAA
Long non-coding RNA from Dunckerocampus dactyliophorus (ringed pipefish), 794 nucleotides. RefSeq lists it as uncharacterized. Lineage: Eukaryota; Metazoa; Chordata; Actinopteri; Syngnathiformes; Syngnathidae. The transcript has 3 exons. The record is from RefSeq and is a predicted model, not a curated record.